RNAcentral lists this ribosomal RNA (383 nucleotides) under uncultured bacterium. Its description in RNAcentral is "bacterial SSU rRNA". It matches the Rfam family "Bacterial small subunit ribosomal RNA", at positions 28 to 410 of the family's 1533-position model. The record is from RNAcentral.
AUUGAACGCUGGCGGCAUGCUUUACACAUGCAAGUCGAGCGGCAGCGCGGGGGCAACCCUGGCGGCGAGCGGCGAACGGGUGAGGAAUACAUCGGAACGUACCCCGGAGUGGGGGAUAACGCCGCGAAAGCGGCGCUAAUACCGCAUAUGCUCUGAGGAGGAAAGUGGGGGACCUGCAAGGGCCUCACGCUCUGGGAGCGGCCGAUGUCCGAUUAGCUAGUUGGUGGGGUAAAGGCCCCACCAAGGCGACGAUCGGUAGCUGGUCUGAGAGGAUGAUCAGCCACACUGGGACUGAGACACGGCCCAGACUCCUACGGGAGGCAGCAGUGGGGAAUUUUGGACAAUGGGGGCAACCCUGAUCCAGCCAUGCCGCGUGCGGGAAG